CCUACGGGAGGCAGCAGUGGGGAAUCUUGCGCAAUGGGCGAAAGCCUGACGCAGCCAUGCCGCGUGAAUGAUGAAGGUCUUAGGAUUGUAAAAUUCUUUCACCGGGGACGAUAAUGACGGUACCCGGAGAAGAAGCCCCGGCUAACUUCGUGCCAGCAGCCGCGGUAAUACGAAGGGGGCUAGCGUUGCUCGGAAUUACUGGGCGUAAAGGGGAGCGUAGGCGGAUAGUUUAGUCAGAGGUGAAAGCCCAGGGCUCAACCUUGGAAUUGCCUUUGAUACUGGCUAUCUUGAGUACGGAAGAGGUAUGUGGAACUCCGAAGUGUAGAGGUGAAAUUCGUAGAUAUUCGGAAGAACACCAAGUGGCGAAGGCGACAUACUGGUCCGUUACUGACGCUGAGGCUCGAAAGCGUGGGGAGCAAACAGGAUUAGAUACCCUGGUAGUCCACGCUGUAAACGAUAGAGUGCUAGUUGUCGGCAUGCAUGCAUGUCGGUGACGCAGCUAACGCAUUAAGCACUCCGCCUGGGGAGUACGGUCGCAAGAUUAAAACUCAAAAUGAAAUUGAGG
This 565-nucleotide ribosomal RNA is filed under the name uncultured bacterium. RNAcentral's name for it is "bacterial SSU rRNA". It matches the Rfam family "Bacterial small subunit ribosomal RNA", at positions 338 to 915 of the family's 1533-position model. The record is from RNAcentral.